RNAcentral lists this non-coding RNA (26 nucleotides) under Mus musculus (house mouse). Lineage: Eukaryota; Metazoa; Chordata; Mammalia; Rodentia; Muridae. The record is from RNAcentral.
UAGCAACUGUUCUAGCCUAUCUGCUC